RNAcentral lists this ribosomal RNA (630 nucleotides) under Bacillus sp. (in: firmicutes). Its description in RNAcentral is "bacterial SSU rRNA". It matches the Rfam family "Bacterial small subunit ribosomal RNA", at positions 51 to 662 of the family's 1533-position model. The record is from RNAcentral. Lineage: Bacteria; Bacillati; Bacillota; Bacilli; Caryophanales; Bacillaceae.
AUACAUGCAAGUCGAGCGGACUGAUGGGAGCUUGCUCCCUGAAGUCAGCGGCGGACGGGUGAGUAACACGUGGGUAACCUGCCUGUAAGACUGGGAUAACUCCGGGAAACCGGGGCUAAUACCGGAUAGUUCUUUUCCUCGCAUGAGGAAAAGUGGAAAGGCGGCUUCGGCUGCCACUUACAGAUGGACCCGCGGCGCAUUAGCUAGUUGGUGAGGUAACGGCUCACCAAGGCAACGAUGCGUAGCCGACCUGAGAGGGUGAUCGGCCACACUGGGACUGAGACACGGCCCAGACUCCUACGGGAGGCAGCAGUAGGGAAUCUUCCGCAAUGGACGAAAGUCUGACGGAGCAACGCCGCGUGAGUGAUGAAGGUUUUCGGAUCGUAAAGCUCUGUUGUUAGGGAAGAACAAGUGCCGUUCGAAUAGGGCGGCACCUUGACGGUACCUAACCAGAAAGCCACGGCUAACUACGUGCCAGCAGCCGCGGUAAUACGUAGGUGGCAAGCGUUGUCCGGAAUUAUUGGGCGUAAAGCGCGCGCAGGCGGUCUCUUAAGUCUGAUGUGAAAGCCCACGGCUCAACCGUGGAGGGUCAUUGGAAGACUGGGGGACUUGAGUACAGAAGAGGAAAGU